RNAcentral lists this ribosomal RNA (459 nucleotides) under uncultured bacterium. RNAcentral describes it as "partial 16S ribosomal RNA". It matches the Rfam family "Bacterial small subunit ribosomal RNA", at positions 338 to 795 of the family's 1533-position model. The record is from RNAcentral.
CCUACGGGAGGCAGCAGUGAGGAAUAUUGGUCAAUGGGCGGGAGCCUGAACCAGCCAAGUCGCGUGAGGGAAGAAGGUACUGAGUAUUGUAAACCUCUUUUGCCAGAGGACAAAGGCGGCCACGGGUGGCCGUAAGAGGGUACCUGGAGAAAAAGCAUAGGCCAACUCCGUGCCAGCAGCCGCGGUAAUAUGGAGGAGGCGAUCGUUAUCCGGAUUGAUUGGGGUUAAAGGGUGCGUAGGCGGAAUGAUAAGUCAGCGGUAAAAUCGCGGGUGUCAACCUCGCUGCGCCGUUGAAACUGGCGUUCUUGAGUGGGCGAGAAGUAUGCGGAAUGCGUGGUGUAGCGGUGAAAUGCAUAGAUAUCACGCAGAACUCCGAUUGCGAAGGCAGCAUACCGGCGCCCAACUGACGCUGAAGCACGAAAGCGUGGGUAUCGAACAGGAUUAGAUACCCCGGUAGUC